RNAcentral lists this ribosomal RNA (253 nucleotides) under uncultured bacterium. RNAcentral describes it as "partial 16S ribosomal RNA". It matches the Rfam family "Bacterial small subunit ribosomal RNA", at positions 524 to 776 of the family's 1533-position model. The record is from RNAcentral.
GACGAACCGUGCGAACGUUGUUCGGAAUCACUGGGCUUAAAGGGAGCGUAGGCGGGCCACCAAGUCAGGGGUGAAAUCCCACGGCUCAACCGUGGAAGUGCCUCUGAUACUGGCGGCCUCGAGGGGUGCAGGGGCGUGCGGAACUAAGGGUGGAGCGGUGAAAUGCGUAGAUAUCCUUAGGAACACCGGUGGCGAAAGCGGCGCGCUAGACACCUACUGACGCUGAGGCUCGAAAGCCAGGGGAGCAAACGGG